CCAUGUGCGGCUGAUGACAACACAGCUGCUGAGACUCUGUGAUUGCUCAAUCUCAAAGUAAACGCACUGACGCACUGUGG
This 80-nucleotide small nucleolar RNA is filed under the name Capra hircus (goat). Its description in RNAcentral is "Small nucleolar RNA U105B (ENSCHIG00000019841.1, ENSCHIG00010022198.1, ENSCHIG00020031596.1, ENSCHIG00040030834.1)". It matches the Rfam family "Small nucleolar RNA U105B". The record is from Rfam by way of RNAcentral. Lineage: Eukaryota; Metazoa; Chordata; Mammalia; Artiodactyla; Bovidae.